GAGUUUGAUCAUGGCUCAGAACGAACGCUGGCGGCAGGCUUAACACAUGCAAGUCGAGCGCCCCGCAAGGGGAGCGGCAGACGGGUGAGUAACGCGUGGGAAUCUACCUUUUGCUACGGAAUAACUCAGGGAAACUUGUGCUAAUACCGUAUGUGCCCUUUUGGGGAAAGAUUUAUCGGCAAAGGAUGAGCCCGCGUUGGAUUAGCUAGUUGGUGAGGUAAAGGCUCACCAAGGCGACGAUCCAUAGCUGGUCUGAGAGGAUGAUCAGCCACACUGGGACUGAGACACGGCCCAGACUCCUACGGGAGGCAGCAGUGGGGAAUAUUGGACAAUGGGCGCAAGCCUGAUCCAGCCAUGCCGCGUGAGUGAUGAAGGCCCUAGGGUUGUAAAGCUCUUUCACCGGUGAAGAUAAUGACGGUAACCGGAGAAGAAGCCCCGGCUAACUUCGUGCCAGCAGCCGCGGUUA
Molecule: ribosomal RNA, 466 nt
Filed under: uncultured bacterium
Lineage: Bacteria
Description: bacterial SSU rRNA
Rfam family: Bacterial small subunit ribosomal RNA
Source: RNAcentral